GUGGGGUUGUGGCUCAGUGGUAGAGCGCUUGCCUAGCAUGUGUGGGGCACUGGGUUCAAUUCUCAACACCACA
Molecule: transfer RNA, 73 nt
Filed under: Marmota monax (woodchuck)
Lineage: Eukaryota; Metazoa; Chordata; Mammalia; Rodentia; Sciuridae
Description: tRNA.Ala
Rfam family: tRNA
About the family: Transfer RNA (tRNA) molecules are approximately 80 nucleotides in length.
Source: RNAcentral